AGGCUUUCAACGAGGGCGAAGCCAGCGACCUUACGGCAUUUUUAUAAUUAGGUCAGCUGUUCUACCCUGAAGUGUAAUCACGAGAGAACAAUAUGACUCAGAGGGUUUUCCACUUGAAGCGACCUCCUUCCUUCCCUCUCCGGUCCGCCAGGCAUCGAAGAAUUCCUACAUUGACACCCGGACAACCUUAGAUGGUAAACAUGACGCAAUUUGGUGCAGACACGACGGCGCCCAGACACGGCUUUGCAAACUCCUGAAAACAAAAAAGGUUUCUCUCUCUAUCCACUUUGCGUUUUCCCACCAGCGCUUGUCUGGAAAGGAGGAGGGCUUAGGCGCCCGAGUUCGAUGUCUUCAGUUCAGUGUUUUUGUUAUGGU
This is a long non-coding RNA of Macrobrachium nipponense, 375 nucleotides long. RefSeq lists it as uncharacterized. The record is from RefSeq and is a predicted model, not a curated record. The transcript has 4 exons. NCBI's taxonomy places the organism in Eukaryota, Metazoa, Arthropoda, Malacostraca, Decapoda, Palaemonidae.